Molecule: transfer RNA, 76 nt
Filed under: Cotesia glomerata
Lineage: Eukaryota; Metazoa; Arthropoda; Insecta; Hymenoptera; Braconidae
Description: tRNA-Tyr
Source: RNAcentral
GUCUCGGAUAGCUUAACUGGUAGAGCCUUUGUGGCGUAACCAAAUGAUCUUUCGGGUUCGAGUCCCGGUCUGGGCU